AACCUAGCACACCUGCGGUGUGUACCUGCGGAAGGAUCAUUACCGAGUUUACAACUCCCAAACCCCUGUGAACAUACCUAUACGUUGCCUCGGCGGAUCAGCCCGCGCCCUGUAAAAAGGGACGGCCCGCCCGAGGACCCUAAACUCUGUUUUUAGUGGAACUUCUGAGUAAAACAAACAAAUAAAUCAAAACUUUUAACAACGGAUCU
Molecule: unclassified non-coding RNA, 209 nt
Filed under: soil metagenome
Description: partial contains 5.8S ribosomal RNA, internal transcribed spacer 2, and large subunit ribosomal RNA
Source: RNAcentral